AUAUACUAGCUGUGCCCGGCCACGCGUUGCUGUGGCUUUUUUUUAGUGAUGUUGGUCAAUCUACAUUGGGUUUUAUUUUUGUUGUGACCGUCAACAAAAAUUAUACAGUAUUAUUUAUUCAUUUAUUACAUUAAAGACAUAUGAUAGGAUAUUACGCUAUAACAUAUACGACUAUUUCACAAUAUUAGUAGUAAUAUAUAUAUAUAUAUUGUUUUGUUUUGUUAUUAGUAUUAUAUUGUAGUGUAUUAUAAUAUUAUUAGCAGUAUUAUAUGUAUAUACAAUGUAUUGUAUUAUAUAUGUAUUGUAUUAUUAUAUAUAUUAAUAUAUUGCAAAUUGGCCCCAGAGUACGGAAUGGCCUUGUAGUUUCAAAGCUUGGGUGGUUCCGUGUGUUAGAGGGGGGGAAUGCUUUGUUGGGAGGUGCUAGGUGGUCCUGAUUGUUUCCUGGAUGGAAUUUGUGUGUUUUCAGACUGUUGUUGUUUAUUUACUGUGCUGAGAUGAGAGAGUGAUGAGUACGGAAUGGCCUUGUAGGUUCAAAGUGUGGGUGGUUUCCUGUGUGAAGGGGGGAAUCCUUUGGUGGGAGGUGUUAGAUGGCCCUGAUUGUUUCCUGGAUGGAAUAGCUGUGUUUUUAGAGUGUUGAUCUUUAUUUACUGUCCUGAGAUGAUAUUGUUGUGUAUUAUUGUACCACAGUAAUUAUUUCAUAUUACAGUAGAAUCUCACCCAACAUUCGUUUAUGCAAUGUUCUGGAUUAUGCAAUGGAGUCUGCCUUUUAAUAGUCAAUGUUUUUGGAGUGAGUGUUUUUAAUGUAUUGUGAUAUUUUGGUGGUAAAUUUGCAAAUACAGUAAUUACUACAUAGCAUUACUGCGCAUGGAACUACUUUUUGUGUCAAAUUUAUUGUAUAACAUGAUGUUUUGGUGUUUAAUUUGUAUAAUGAUGACCUAAUUCGAUGUGUAAUUGGUUUUCCUGAAUCCCUUCUUAUUAUCCAACAUAUUUAUUUAUGCAACGUUCUGCCGGCUUGUUUAUGUUGGAUAAGUGAGAUUCUAGUGUAUAUUUAUAAUGUGAUAUUAUUUGUUUAGAAGUGGAUUAUAUGAGGCGCCUUCUACUAUAAUAAUAAUUAUUAUUAUAACAGAAGGCGCCUCAUAUAAUCCACUUCUAAACAAAUAAUAUCACAUUAUAAAUAUACACUAGAAUCUCACUUAUCCAACAUAAACAAGCCGGCAGAACGUUGCAUAAGUAAAUAUGUUGGAUAAUAAGAAGGGAUUCAGGAAAACCAAUUAGGUAAUCGAAUUAGGUAAUCAUUAUACAAAUUAAACACCAAAACAUCAUGUUAUACAACAAAUUUGACACAAAAAGUGGUUCCAUGCGCAGUAAUGCUAUGUAGUAAUUACUGUAUUUACAAAUUUACCACCAAAAUAUCACAAUACAUUAAAAACACUCACUCCAAAAACAUUGACUAUUAAAAGGCAGACUCCAUUGCAUAAUCCAGAACAUUACAUAAACGAAUGUUGGAUAAGUGAGAUUCUACUGUAAUAUGAAAUAAUUACUGUGGUACAAUAAUACACAACAAUAUCAUCUCAGGACAGUAAAUAAAGAUCAACACUCUAAAAACACAGCUAUUCCAUCCAGGAAACAAUCAGGGCCAUCUAACACUUCCCACCAAAGGAUUCCCCCCUUCACACAGGAAACCACCCACGCUUUGAAGGUACAAGGCCAUUCCGUACUCAUCACUCUCUCAUCUCAGCACAGUAAAUAAACAACAACAGUCUGAAAACACACAAAUUCCAUCCAAGAAACAAUCACACCCAGCUAACACCUCCCACCAAACGAUUCUCCCCCCCAGGCAUGGAAGCAGCCAGGCUUUGAAGGUACAAGGCCAUUCCGUUCUCAUCACUCUCUCAUCUCAGCACAGUAAAUAAACAACAACAGUCUGAAAACACACAAAUUCCAUCCAGGAAACAAUCAGGGCCAUCUAACACUUCCCACCAAAGGAUUCCCCCCUUCACACAGGAAACCACCCACGCUUUGAAGGUACAAGGCCAUUCCGUACUCAUCACUCUCUCAUCUCAGCACAGUAAAUAAACAACAACAGUCUGAAAACACACAAAUUCCAUCCAAGAAACAAUCACACCCAGCUAACACCUCCCACCAAACGAUUCUCCCCCCCAGGCAUGGAAGCAGCCAGGCUUUGAAGGUACAAGGCCAUUCCGUUCUCAUCACUCUCUCAUCUCAGCACAGUAAAUAAACAACAACAGUCUGAAAACACACAAAUUCCAUCCAAGAAACAAUCACACCCAGCUAACACCUCCCACCAAACGAUUCUCCCCCCCAGGCAUGGAAGCAGCCAGGCUUUGAAGGUAUAAGGCCAUUCCGUACUCAUCACUCUCUCAUCUCAGGACAGUAAAUAAACAACAGUCUGAAAACACAUAAAUUCCAUCCAAGAAACAAUCACACCCAGCUAACACCUCCCACCAAACGAUUCUCCCCCCCCCCCAGGCAUGGAAGCAGCCAGGCUUUGAAGGUACAAGGCCAUUCCAUACUCAUCACUCUCUCAUCUCAGCACAGUAAAUAAACAACAACAGUCUGAAAACACACAAAUUCCAUCCAAGAAACAAUCACGGCCAGCUAACACCUCCCACCAAACGAUUCUCCCCCCCAGGCAUGGAAGCAGCCAGGCUUUGAAGGUACAAGGCCAUUCCGUACUCAUCACUCUCUCAUCUCAGGACAGUAAAUAAAGAGCAACACUCUGAAAACACUGGAAUUCCAUCCAGGAAACAAUCAGGACCACCUAGCACCUCCCAACAAAGCAUUCCCCCCCUCUAACACA
Long non-coding RNA from Anolis carolinensis (green anole), 2821 nucleotides. RefSeq lists it as uncharacterized. The transcript has 2 exons. Lineage: Eukaryota; Metazoa; Chordata; Lepidosauria; Squamata; Anolidae. The record is from RefSeq and is a predicted model, not a curated record.